UUAUGAAGUCAACUAGUUAUUACCUAGUAAAUCUAACUUACUAGGUUGACUUACAUGUAAUUUAACCUAACAGAACUAGCUAGCCACACAUUACCAAACCAGUAGUCACCAUUGUUUGGAUUUCAGGUGCAUGUGCCAAGAAAAUUAAGGUCACACUGAGGUCAAAACGCAGGGAAAUUAAUAUGUAGUCAGAAAUACCAUAUAAGUGUGGACGAGGCCUAAGCUGUUCUUUUAUACAUGAAUAUUUCCACAUUCUUAACAUGUGGAUUUAAGUUCUUGGAGGCUCAGAUGAGGGAAGUCAUGGAAGACCUCCCAGAAUAUCCUGACUGUAGGUUGUAGUUGUCGUUGCCCACAACCAUGGCCAUGAGCUCUGUGGGCUGGAAGAGGGACAGGAUGUUCCCCCCGCACACCUUCAGGAAGCCCGCAGAGAAGGCAGAGUACAGCUCGCUGACCGAGCCACUGAACACGUAGCACAGGCAGAGAGCAGCCCGUGGCUCCAGCACACAGCUUCCUGCCCAUGUCUUAUCUCCACCUGCCACCACAGGCCUGUCCCUAUUCAAUGGGUUCAACUGCACUUUCAAGAACAGAAAGACUCUGUAGGAAUUUUCAGAUGUUACCUUAUCAUAUUCUACAUUGUAUUGAAUUAUAUUAUUAAAUGUAUCAGUACUUCUCUCUGUACAAUUUAAACCUAAUAAGUGCUCCUCCUGGGUCUGUUUUCUAUUUAUUUGCAUUUUCUUUAAUCCAUCAACAAAAACGUGCACAUUUCAUAUUUCGAUCCAACUCAGCAGACCUAACAGACCUAAAACCAACAAGGCAAAAUACUUCUUGUAAUAAUCAAAAUUACCAAAAAAAAGCAAAGUCAUGCUUACUACCAGUUUUAAUUCUUAUCUGAGCCAUAACAACAGCAGGACCACCCAAACAUGGCGUCCGGAAAUGUUGUUCUCCCUCUCUAAAUGGGCCGGUUGGCGGCGGGCCAGGGGCGGUGAGACGGAGUGUAAUCCCACACAGCCGGCCUGGACUCAGGCAGGUGCGGUGUGUUGUCUCAGGAACACACGUCUACCACCGGGUACCGGCCCAUGUAUGGGCUUUACCCUCCUCUGCACUACG
Molecule: long non-coding RNA, 1107 nt
Organism: Gadus chalcogrammus (walleye pollock)
Lineage: Eukaryota; Metazoa; Chordata; Actinopteri; Gadiformes; Gadidae
Exons: 4
Source: RefSeq, a predicted model, not a curated record